Molecule: RNA transcript, 3562 nt
Organism: Esox lucius (northern pike)
Lineage: Eukaryota; Metazoa; Chordata; Actinopteri; Esociformes; Esocidae
Exons: 7
Source: RefSeq, a predicted model, not a curated record
UGAGAUAAACCAUGGAUUAUGGUUAAUAUUGUACUCAAUGCUCUAUAAGGGAUUACAAGGAGAUAACAUGGAUCCAAACUGGUGUGCAGAUCCUUACUCUUGUGUUACAUUAAUGGUUAUCGUGCGUCAAGUUAAUUGUGUCAUGCAUGGUAAUGCAAAAGAGGAAGGAUGUGGUCCACCAGAUCUGUUACUUAUUCUCUGAAAACCUUAAAAAUGUGUAAAUCACCCAGUUACAUCUUGUCUACACAUUGUCGGGGCAAGGAAAAUUACUUUUAGAAGGAGUCAUCUACCCUUCACCCUGUAAGUACGCUUUACUGGAUUGUUAAUGACAACCUAUAUUUUAUGAUAGAUUAAUGAUGUUUUUGGACUCAAUGCUCUAGUCAGGCUUCAGAGAAUAAAAGACAUAUGGAGCAAUAUAUUUAUAAUUAUGUGUGUACAAAAAAGGUGGAAAUGUGAUGGGUCUUUUAGGGAUCUGGGUUGAGAAGGCAUUGGGAAGCUGAGACCAAAACACCCAACAAAAAUGGUUCUAUAAUUUAUUCAAGGCAUGGUUGUCCAUUUGUUUCCACAUUCCAGUAUAAAUCAACACAUUUUCAACCGUUUUGAAAGAAUUCCAUUAUCUUUUUCCAUACAUCAGAUGAUAAUGUUGUCCAUUUUAUUUUAAAAUCAAUCAAUCACGUACAAACAUACAAAAAGGGGAACAGGAGACGAGAUCCAGGAUGCAGAGAUCCAAUGUCUACAUGUUCCAUGUUCCAACUCAGACAUGUCCUGUUAAGAAAAAUUCAGGUAGUCACCUGGGACCUAACCAGUACUACACAGACAGUUACGCCCCCUCCAAAGGCUCCUGGGUGAAGAGGAAAAGAUGAAGAGGGACAACCACCCAAGAUGUGUUCAUGUUUGCUUCUUAAUGGUUUCAAGUGUAUUUAUUCAACUGUUAUAAAGUGUUGUUGUUUAUGUCUCUAAGACUACAAGGUGGCACGACGAUGAGAGCUACAGGAAGUGUGUUGGUGGUCGUUAUCUGGUCUGUAACAGGAACUAUGGCAACAAAAUGUGGACAAACAAGCCUACUGAUGGUGUCUCCCACCAACCCAGUGUGGGGGCAGAAAGUGAUAUUGACCUGUAACGCCCCCUGUAGUCUGAGUGACAACCAAAACCACACCUACAUCGGGUACAAGAAUGGAUACCGUCUUGUCGAUUCCCCCCUCCGGCAAUACACUGAAACCAGUUAUUAUACACACAGUUACUCCUGUGCUGUAAAUGGUUCUGAGGAUCUCCGCUCUCCUGUAGUCUGUAUUCUGGGUAAGUCCUGUUUCAAUGUGACUUACACCCAUCAGACAAUCUCUGCCUUGAUCGGCUCAACAGUGGAUCUUCCCUGCACAUACCAACAUCCGAAUAACCAUACAGUCAUAGAAAUGAACUGGUAUAUACAAGGAGAACGUAAUAAGGCGCCAACAAACCUGAAAUCAUUGCCAGAGUAUUCAGGUCGUGUGAAGUACCUUGGAGAUAAUGUGAGUGACUGUACCCUGAGAAUCACAGACCUGAGAGAGACUGACUCAGCUGAGUACAAGUUCAGGUGUAAAUUCACCUUGAGUAACAAUAGGUUUGCAGAGUGGGGGUACAGCUUCUCAGGAACUACUCUGACUGUCUCAGGUAAUAUUGCACAAACAUGCUGAAAUCUAUGCUUGAAGUGACUGUGAGGAUAUAAAAUACUUUACUGUAUACAGUACAACUACUAAAACUAGUACUAAAAUGAAUAUUUGCAUAAAAUAAUAUUUAUACAAUACAUCAAUGAAGCUGCAAGAGUAUUUAAUAGACCACUGGAAAAUGGUAAUUUUUGAGAACAGCUGUGGUCAUUCUGAAAAUACAAAGAAUCAAAGAUCAUUCCCAGACAUCUGUCUCAACACCUUUAUAUCUUCCCUGGUUUCCACUAUGUUAUAUCCCUAAAUUGGAAUAGGACAUGCUCUCCUGUCUCCCUGGGUUCCCGUGGUUACAGUGGGGGCCGUCCUCACUGUUGCAGUUCUUCUAGUCACCAUCUACUGUACCCUGAGGAGGAGAUCUACAGGAGGAAGUGACGCUACAACAGACCCACAGAGAGUCCAUCCUGAUCCUAACAGUGACAUGUACUCAGCUCUGUCCCCCACAGAGUGUCCAUCCUGAUCCUAACAGUGACAUGUACUCAGCUCUCUACCCCACAGAGUGUCCAUCCUGAUCCUAACAGUGACAUGUACUCAGCUCUGAACAUGAGGAACAGAUCAACAGACUACGACACUCUAAAUACUCACCCACUGACCAACCAACAGAUAGAUGCAGAGCCCCAUGUUUAUGAGAACUUAUGAGAACCACCACAGAAUCUGGACUGAAGAGAACCACCACAGAACCUGGAUUGUAAAGAACUACCACAGAAUCUGGACUGAAGAGAACCACCACAGAACCUGGACUGAAGAGAACCACCACAGAACCUGGACUGAAGAAAACCAACACAGAACCUGGACUGUAUAGAACCAACACAGAACCUAGAUUGUAUUCGCUUACUUUCUGACUGUCUCUAUACUUUUGAAGAUGCCAUUCUCCUGAAUUAUUUUCCUUCACUGGAUUUCUCUAAAAGAAUAAGGUUGUUUUUGACAACCAUGUUCACAAUGGCUACUUCUACUAUCAUCAACUGGUGUCUCAAUUUAAUGUGAAGUAGUGUUUGGAACACAUUUACAUUUAAAUACAUUUUAGAGAAUUUGAAUACAAGCUUCACAUUCAUGUAAUUUUCCUGUAUUGUUCUACUUGUGCUAAUACAUACAGAGUACAGAAAAAUGGAUAGUCAGCAUAGACAGAAAGGUUUACAGUAAAUUACCAUUUAACAGUAAAAGCAGCUCAGGUUUGUCUUCCUGCUUCCCUCAUUGUCACACCAAGUACAAGAACAUGGUCCAGUACAGUGUCACAAAUCUCCUUAGAGAUUAUUGUUCUUCUUCCUCUCCCAUGUCCACCUCUCUUUCUUCCUCGUCCUCUACUUCUCUUUGACAUUGUCAUCCAUUGUUCCAAAACAAAGGUGAGUUCACCUGUGGUCCUUUUUAUUCAAGCCAUCUUCCUGAUCACCUCUUGACUAAGUAGCUAAUUAGUCAAGUUAAGUAACACACUGACAAUAGUGUUGAGAAUGUUGGACUUGUAAUGCUUCGAGAUUGGUAAUUGAAUGGUGACAGUAUGGUGACAAAGAGAGAUGUGUAUGUUUUAAUAUGAAUGGUAAAUGGUCUUCCACCUCAAACUUUGAAAAAGGCUUUGUGAACAUUGUUAAAAAAAAAAGUUUUAGCAUGUUAGUGGUUGUGAAAAACUGUACAAGCAUCAUAGUAAUCGAGAAAAUCUGUAAUCUAAUCAUUAUCUCUUGUUUUCCUGAAAUCUGAACCUUUCUUACUCUAUGAAAUUGUUGCAAAUAGAAACUCAGAUAUGACCUUUUUCAUGAAAUAAGGACUGAUUUUGUUUCACAUGAUUUACUCAACUGAGUUUUGCAUUUUUGGUGGAGAACUUUAUUAAACUGUUUUUGUGGAAAAGCAAUAAAAAAUAAUUAUUUUGUGGGGAAAAA